UGAGUUGGUUUAANGAUCUCACACUGGCCGGUCGUUUUACAGCUACCAUGCAGUCGAACGCGAAUCUUCGGAAGCAAAGAGUAGAGUGGCGCACGGGUGAGUAACGCGUAAGUAAUCUACCCUGGCAUCCGGAAUAACCCACCGAAAGGUGAGCUAAAUACCGGAUACUGAUUAGAGUAAUACAAGAAAGGUGGCCUCUUUCAUAGAAAUGUCUACUAGUGCUNUGGGAGUGAGUCUUGCGUAACCAUUAGCUAUGUAAGUGUAGUGGUAACUGGCUCUACCUAGGCGACGAUGGUUAGCGGGUCUAGAAGAGGAUAAGAUCCGCACAA
RNAcentral lists this ribosomal RNA (329 nucleotides) under uncultured bacterium. Its description in RNAcentral is "bacterial SSU rRNA". The stretch from base 47 to 329 matches the Rfam family "Bacterial small subunit ribosomal RNA", at positions 54 to 313 of the family's 1533-position model. The record is from RNAcentral.